GGACUACUGGGGUUUCUAAUCCUGUUUGAUCCCCGCACUUUCGAGCCUCAGUGUCAGUUACAGUUUUGUGAGCUGCCUUCGCAAUCGGUGUUCUAUGACAUAUCUAAGUAUUUCACCACUACAUGUCAUAUUCCGCCCACAUCAUCUGUACUCAAGACCUGCAGUAUCAAUGGCAGUUUCUCAGUUAAGCUGAGAGAUUUCACCACUGACUUACAAGUCCACCUACGCUCCCUUUAAACCCAAUGAAUCCGGAUAACGCUUGCAUCCUUCGUCUUACCGCGGCUGCUGGCAC
Molecule: ribosomal RNA, 292 nt
Filed under: uncultured Bacteroidota bacterium
Lineage: Bacteria; Pseudomonadati; Bacteroidota
Description: uncultured Bacteroidetes bacterium partial 16S ribosomal RNA
Source: RNAcentral